RNAcentral lists this ribosomal RNA (405 nucleotides) under uncultured bacterium. Its description in RNAcentral is "partial 16S ribosomal RNA". It matches the Rfam family "Bacterial small subunit ribosomal RNA", at positions 30 to 526 of the family's 1533-position model. The record is from RNAcentral.
AUUGAACGCUGGCGGCAGGAGGAAGAAAUGGAAGUCGAACGAGUGGCGGACGGGUGAGUAAUGCUUGGGAAUCCAGCUUAUGGAGGGGGAUAACUACGGGAAACUGUAGCUAAUACCGCGUACCAUAGGAUGAGCCCAAGUGGGAUUAGGUAGUUGGUGAGGUAAAGGCUGACCAAGCCGACGAUCUCUAGCUGGUCGGAGAGGAUGACCAGCCACACUGUGACUGAGACACGGCCCAGACUCCUACGGGAGGCAGCAGUGGUGAAUAUUGCGCAAUGGGGGCAACCUGACGCAGCCAUGCCGCGUGAAUGAAGAAGGCCUUCGGGUUGUAAAGUUCUUUCGGUAGCGAGGCGUUAACUACAGAAGAAGCACCGGCUAACUCCGUUCCAGCAGCCGCGGUAAUAC